UCUUGUGAUCCUCAUGUACGGACCCUGC
This 28-nucleotide non-coding RNA is filed under the name Rattus norvegicus (Norway rat). Lineage: Eukaryota; Metazoa; Chordata; Mammalia; Rodentia; Muridae. The record is from RNAcentral.